Molecule: unclassified non-coding RNA, 235 nt
Organism: Labrus bergylta (ballan wrasse)
Lineage: Eukaryota; Metazoa; Chordata; Actinopteri; Labriformes; Labridae
Gene: 7SK
Rfam family: 7SK RNA
About the family: 7SK was discovered as an abundant small nuclear RNA in the mid-70s but a possible function has only recently been suggested. Two independent studies have found that 7SK RNA binds the CDK9/cyclin T complex (known as elongation factor P-TEFb).
Source: Ensembl
GCAGGUGAAGAAGACAACCUCGGAUGUGACGUUGAUCCUUAGGGAUGAUUCGGCUGAUCUGGCCCGCCGCGCGAGUGUCCCCCUUCGUCCCUCACCGCUCCAUGAGAGUCCCUUUGGAAGCUCCACGCUCAGUCGAUGAGGACGACCGUCCAUCGAUAUACCCGAAGCUGCGCUCCUCUGCUAGAACCUCCAGACGACCUCAGGAAGACAGCUUGUUGUCAACAUGUUCUACUUU